AAUUUUCUUAUGUGCCUUUAACUGUUUUCCGGUUUUGUGUCUUUUUUUGUUUUGUUUUAUUGAGGUGUGGGAAUCGGCGGCGUGAAACCUGGAGUUACUGGUGCCCUUGGAGCACUGGGUAGCCGAUAUGGCAACAAAGCAAUGAAGACUGGAAUUGGACGUUAUCCUGCAGCCCAGCUUGGUGUUGGAGGCUACAGAUCUCUUGGAUUAGGAGGAAGAGCUGGUCUGAUGCAAGGUGGAUAUGGAAACCAGGGAGCCUAUGGUGCCAGUCUGGGCCCAGGAAUGGGGCUGGGGGCUGGGCUCACAAACGGACUGGGACUGGGAUUGGGCCAGGGAGGAAAACGUGCUUAUGGUGCUGGCUUGGGAACACUUCCAGGAUAUGGAUCUUUAGGGGGCAUUGGCUAUCUUGGAGCACGACCAGGUGUGUCUGCAGAACAUUUGGUUGGACCUGAGAUGGCCAGUCAGGGUCAAGCUGUUCAAGAUCUUAAACGAGAAAAAAUCAGAGGUCUAGACUCGUUUGGAAAGCAGGAGGUCAAAAGCUUUGAUUCAACAGUCCAGUCAUCGAGUCUUGGACACACAACACCUACUGAUCAAGGACAAAGUAACCACCCUGCAAUACCCAAAAGAAAGCUGGCCCCAAAUCAUGAAGUCAUUUUGGGAGCUGGAGGUCCGAGAAGACAACUGCCUGUUGAUAAAGACAACAUCCAAAGUCUGGGUUCUUAUUCAUCUCAGAGUGCCCGAGACUAUGAUUCAUCCAAACGUGAAAAUCAGCGAGUGGAAAACUGUGGAUCUCCUAUUAAUUUACUAGAAAACAAUCGCUUAGGUUCAGGAAUUCAAAAGGGUCAAAGUUCAGUGGCUCAGCCGCAUCUUGGUGAAGAACUCAGACAUCUUGGUAGCACGACGUCACAAAAAGAAAAAGACAAAACCUCUCGACUACCUUUUUCAGAAGCUGAGGAUGUAAGAAGACGUAUUUACGCGACUCCACUGGAUCAGAGAAUAAGAGAUUAUUUCUCUGCUGUGGCAGACAGGCAGUGCGUCAAAGGACUUUUAGCUGAAAACGCAAAUGGAAUCAGAAUCCGUGGGACUGUUACGGUACAAGAUGGCAGAUAUAGUACUGCAAACCUUCCAGCAAAAGGAGGAAGGCGCUAUGGAGCAGUGAUCCCAGGUACUAGUGGAACCCUAAGUGUAGGCAGUGCCUCUAAUAGAGGAGAUGGACAGGAAGCUCCAGGCUUUAAUGGAGAUGAUCAGAGUGCUAAACAGAAUUCCCAAACUGAACAUGAUGUCAAAAAGCCAAAAGCCCUCCCUAUCCCAGGGCAGACUGGGAGGAAUGCCCAGACUCCAAGUUAUGCUGGUGGAGCGGGAAACUACAUGGGAGCAAGCCUGGGGGCUUUGGGUUAUGGAGCAGGGUUGGGACAGGGAGCGUAUUUGGGUGGAGCAGCUGGAAAACUUGGAGCUGCUGCUGCACUUGGGCAGGGUGGUUAUCCCCAAGGUGUUGCAGGAAAGUCGACUGGUUAUGGUGAUGGAGCAACAGGAUAUCUUGGUGCUGUGGCAGGGAACGGCCUGGGUUACGGGAAUGGUGAUGGCUAUGGAGCUGCCCUCAGUCCUGGAGGCUAUGCUGGACAGGUCCAGGGGGGCUAUGGAGCACUUGGGGCAGGCCUGGAAUCAACUGGUGGCAAAUAUGGAGGAGGAGCUGGUCAGGCUCCUUAUGGUAAUGCCCCAGUGCUUCCUGCUGGACUGGAAGGUGAUGGCGGCUAUCCGUAUGCUGCACAGCAGCUUGGUCUUGGAGCUGAAGGUGCUAAAUCUGCAAAAUAUGGCCCUGGUGCAGGAUAUGGAGCUCAACAAGCAGGGUUCGGUGCACAGCUAGGGCCAGCUCAAGAUGCUUUGGGAGAGCAGACUGGCAAAUAUGAUCGAGUGAAUGCUGCCCUGGGUAACGGAUACAAAGGCUAAUUCCCACGACGCUGACCUCUUCAAGUGGAUCAUUACCAUAAAGUGUUCAGUCCAAUGAGGUUGCAGAGCUUUUCUGUGUGAUUUACUCUACUUUGUUAUGUUGUCAUGUCUGUAUGUCUUUUGUUUCAUUCUUCUCAUCCACCUUGUCCUUCUCUGUGAACGGACAUCUGUAAACCAGAUGUCUGUCUGCUUGUCUCCCUCCUCUCAAACCUGCAGCACCCACGGGUUUGUUCCUGGCAGUGCUAAAAAGGCUUGGUGGUGAUUGAUAAACAUAAAUGGAUGUGAAAUGCAAGAAAUAUGUCCC
Molecule: long non-coding RNA, 2251 nt
Organism: Astatotilapia calliptera (eastern happy)
Lineage: Eukaryota; Metazoa; Chordata; Actinopteri; Cichliformes; Cichlidae
Source: Ensembl